This 490-nucleotide ribosomal RNA is filed under the name uncultured bacterium. RNAcentral describes it as "partial 16S ribosomal RNA". It matches the Rfam family "Bacterial small subunit ribosomal RNA", at positions 30 to 507 of the family's 1533-position model. The record is from RNAcentral.
AUUGAACGCUGGCGGCAGGCCUAACACAUGCAAGUCGAACGGUAACAGGAAGACGCUUGCUUCUUUGCUGACGAGUGGCGGACGGGUGAGUAAUGUCUGGGAAACUGCCUGAUGGAGGGGGAUAACUACUGGAAACGGUAGCUAAUACCGCAUAACGUCGCAAGACCAAAGAGGGGGACCUUCGGGCCUCUUGCCAUCGGAUGUGCCCAGAUGGGAUUAGCUAGUAGGUGGGGUAACGGCUCACCUAGGCGACGAUCCCUAGCUGGUCUGAGAGGAUGACCAGCCACACGGGAACUGAGACACGGUCCAGACUCCUACGGGAGGCAGCAGUGGGGAAUAUUGCACAAUGGGCGCAAGCCUGAUGCAGCCAUGCCGCGUGUAUGAAGAAGGCCUUCGGGUUGUAAAGUACUUUCAGCGGGGAGGAAGGGAGUAAAGUUAAUACCUUUGCUCAUUGACGUUACCCGCAGAAGAAGCACCGGCUAACUCCGUG